RNAcentral lists this unclassified non-coding RNA (965 nucleotides) under Hevea brasiliensis (rubber tree). The record is from RNAcentral. Lineage: Eukaryota; Viridiplantae; Streptophyta; Magnoliopsida; Malpighiales; Euphorbiaceae.
GUGUGUGUGUGUGUGUGUGUGUAGCUUUUAUUCAAAUAUUAACAUUUGGAGUUGGUUUUGGUCUGUGCAGCGGAAGUACCAAGGAACCAUAGCAUUAAAUUUACAGAUACAGAAAAGAAGCAAAACCUGAAGCUAAAAAAUCACAAAUUUCCAAUAAGCCAUAUACAAAUGUCCAAGUAUUCUCAAAUUCUUUUGCUGAUCAACUCUUACGAAUUCCAAAAUGCAUAAAACGAAUUCCAAAAUGCAUAAAACAAUAGAUGCAUUCAUGUAUGUGUAUUUGUUGCACAAGCACUUAUGAGAUUAGGAUUCUAAAUUCUCUAACUUCAAAUAUUAGAAAGCAAAAACUAACAUAAUGCAGACACCCCCUCAAAACAUAAGAAUGUGCAAAAUACUAUGCCACAGCAAUAACUAAUGCAAUAACUAAUUCCCAUUUCAACAGACAGUAAGUUUCAAAAUGAGCCUGACAUACCAUAAAAACAGACAUGAGACAAGAUCAAUUCAAGAUAAAACCUAUAGCUCACUAAAGUAAUUAUUCAGUGCAUCUAGUUCAGUUAAAAAUAGGGCACCGCCUCUUGCAAUCAUCUAGGACUCGGAAGCUAAAUUGAAUUCAUAGGUGAACGAGGUACAUUAUUCUCCCAUUCUAUCAUAUGGAUGAACCAUCACAUUUCAUUAAAAACGUAAAAUUUAACAGCAAUUUCUAAGCAUUUCUAUUAUAGGAAGAACAAAACUUAGUCAAAUAGAACUCGCCGAUUAAAAAGCAUCCCCCGGAGCAUUAAUUCCCUCUUCCACAAAACAUCUAGUAAAAUCCCACAAUUUCACUUCAACCUGAUGACAAUUUCUCAAAUCACAAUCCCAGGAUCGCAUACACUACUGAUAAUUCCCAGGCACCCAACAAUUAUCAGAUACAAAAAUCAAUCCAAAUCGAAAUCCCUUCAUUUAUCUUCCAAUAGAAAGUUGAAAUUAUU